GACGAACGCUGGCGGCGUGCCUAAUACAUGCAAGUCGAACGAACUCUGGUAUUGAUUGGUGCUUGCAUCAUGAUUUACAUUUGAGUGAGUGGCGAACUGGUGAGUAACACGUGGGAAACCUGCCCAGAAGCGGGGGAUAACACCUGGAAACAGAUGCUAAUACCGCAUAACAACUUGGACCGCAUGGUCCGAGCUUGAAAGAUGGCUUCGGCUAUCACUUUUGGAUGGUCCCGCGGCGUAUUAGCUAGAUGGUGGGGUAACGGCUCACCAUGGCAAUGAUACGUAGCCGACCUGAGAGGGUAAUCGGCCACAUUGGGACUGAGACACGGCCCAAACUCCUACGGGAGGCAGCAGUAGGGAAUCUUCCACAAUGGACGAAAGUCUGAUGGAGCAACGCCGCGUGAGUGAAGAAGGGUUUCGGCUCGUAAAACUCUGUUGUUAAAGAAGAACAUAUCUGAGAGUAACUGUUCAGGUAUUGACGGUAUUUAACCAGAAAGCCACGGCUAACUACGUGCCAGCAGCCGCGGUAAUACGUAGGUGGCAAGCGUUGUCCGGAUUUAUUGGGCGUAAAGCGAGCGCAGGCGGUUUUUUAAGUCUGAUGUGAAAGCCUUCGGCUCAACCGAAGAAGUGCAUCGGAAACUGGGAAACUUGAGUGCAGAAGAGGACAGUGGAACUCCAUGUGUAGCGGUGAAAUGCGUAGAUAUAUGGAAGAACACCAGUGGCGAAGGCGGCUGUCUGGUCUGUAACUGACGCUGAGGCUCGAAAGUAUGGGUAGCAAACAGGAUUAGAUACCCUGGUAGUCCAUACCGUAAACGAUGAAUGCUAAGUGUUGGAGGGUUUCCGCCCUUCAGUGCUGCAGCUAACGCAUUAAGCAUUCCGCCUGGGGAGUACGGCCGCAGGGCUGAAACUCAAAGGAAUUGACGGGGGCCCGCACAAGCGGUGGAGCAUGUGGUUUAAUUCGAAGCUACGCGAAGAACCUUACCAGGUCUUGACAUACUAUGCAAAUCUAAGAGAUUAGACGUUCCCUUCGGGGACAUGGAUACAGGUGGUGCAUGGUUGUCGUCAGCUCGUGUCGUGAGAUGUUGGGUUAAGUCCCGCAACGAGCGCAACCCUUAUUAUCAGUUGCCAGCAUUAAGUUGGGCACUCUGGUGAGACUGCCGGUGACAAACCGGAGGAAGGUGGGGAUGACGUCAAAUCAUCAUGCCCCUUAUGACCUGGGCUUCACACGUGCUACAAUGGAUGGUACAACGAGUUGCGAACUCGCGAGAGUAAGCUAAUCUCUUAAAGCCAUUCUCAGUUCGGAUUGUAGGCUGCAACUCGCCUACAUGAAGUCGGAAUCGCUAGUAAUCGCGGAUCAGCAUGCCGCGGUGAAUACGUUCCCGGGCCUUGUACACACCGCCCGUCACACCAUGAGAGUUUGCAACACCCAAAGUCGGUGGGGUAACCUUUUAGGAACCAGCCGCCUAAGGUGGGACAGAUGAUUAGGGUGAAGUCGUAACAAGGUAGCCGUAG
This 1512-nucleotide ribosomal RNA is filed under the name Lactiplantibacillus argentoratensis. RNAcentral describes it as "partial 16S ribosomal RNA". It matches the Rfam family "Bacterial small subunit ribosomal RNA". The record is from RNAcentral. Lineage: Bacteria; Bacillati; Bacillota; Bacilli; Lactobacillales; Lactobacillaceae.